GGGUUGUAAACUUCUUUUAUAUUAGAAUAAAGUGCAGUAUGUAUACUGUUUUGUAUGUAUAAUAUGAAUAAGGAUCGGCUAACUCCGUGCCAGCAGCCGCGGUAAUACGGAGGAUCCGAGCGUUAUCCGGAUUUAUUGGGUUUAAAGGGAGCGUAGGUGGGCCGGUAAGUCAGUUGUGAAAGUUUGCGGCUCAACCGUAAAAUUGCAGUUGAUACUGUCAGUCUUGAGUACAGUAGAGGUGGGCGGAAUUCGUGGUGUAGCGGUGAAAUGCUUAGAUAUCACGAAGAACUCCGAUUGCGAAGGCAGCUCACUGGACUGCAACUGACACUGAUGCUCGAAAGUGUGGGUAUCAAACAGGAUUAGAUACCCUGGUAGUCCACACAGUAAA
This 388-nucleotide ribosomal RNA is filed under the name uncultured bacterium. RNAcentral describes it as "bacterial SSU rRNA". It matches the Rfam family "Bacterial small subunit ribosomal RNA", at positions 420 to 806 of the family's 1533-position model. The record is from RNAcentral.